Non-coding RNA from Dipodomys ordii (Ord's kangaroo rat), 65 nucleotides. NCBI's taxonomy places the organism in Eukaryota, Metazoa, Chordata, Mammalia, Rodentia, Heteromyidae. The record is from Rfam.
GGUGGCUCAGUGGUAGAGUGCUUGCCUCGCAUGCAUAAGGCCCUGGGUUCGAUUCCUCAGCACCA